CAGUAGCCGCGGUAAAACGGAGGGUGCAAGCGUUAAUCGGAAUUACUGGGCGUAAAGCGCACGCAGGCGGUCUGACAAGUCAGAUGUGAAAUCCCCGGGCUUAACCUGGGAACUGCAUUUGAAACUGUCAGGCUGGAGUCUUGUAGAGGGGGGUAGAAUUCCAGGUGUAGCGGUGAAAUGCGUAGAGAUCUGGAGGAAUACCGGUGGCGAAGGCGGCCCCCUGGACAAAGACUGACGCUCAGGUGCGAAAGCGUGGGGAGCAAACAGGAUUAGAUACCCGGGUAGUCCCUGUCUCUUAUAC
Molecule: ribosomal RNA, 301 nt
Filed under: uncultured bacterium
Lineage: Bacteria
Description: partial 16S ribosomal RNA
Rfam family: Bacterial small subunit ribosomal RNA
Source: RNAcentral